This 2793-nucleotide long non-coding RNA is filed under the name Mus musculus (house mouse). Its description in RNAcentral is "long non-coding RNA chr12:32824115-32826908". Lineage: Eukaryota; Metazoa; Chordata; Mammalia; Rodentia; Muridae. The record is from RNAcentral.
CACAAAUUUUAAAAACUCCUGGGAAGCAGAUAACUUUUGCUUUUUUCCCCCAUAUAUUGCAUUAGCUGUAGUGAAGCAGGGUGUCAGCCAGGAUGGGGAUAGUAGAGCCUACUCUGCUGUAGGUGUUGCCCAUAUGAUGGAACUUGUUCUGUGGCAUUGAAUAUGUUAGCCCAUUGCAUUUUAAACUUUGGCUCUUAAUUAUUUCUUACCAGUUAAAAAUACAAGUGUAACUGAAGAAGUGGGCAAGUGAGUACCAGUUGCCUUUGGUGAUAUGAUAUCAGUUUAUGAGGAAAGAUCUUGAGAAAGUAUCUCAGGUCAACCUAUGGAAUACCUUAAAGGAGCAACUAGAGAAAAUUACACCUAAUUUCCUGUCUUAGUCAGAGUUCAGUUGCUGUGAAGAGACUCUGUGACUGUGGCAACUCUCCGAAAACAUUUAAUUGGGGUAGCUUACAGUUCAGAGAUUCAGUCCAUUAUCAUGGUGGGAAGCAUGGCAGCCUGCAGGCCGACUUGGUGCUGGAAGAGCUAGGCUUGAUUCAAAGGCCGAAGAAGGAGAAUUGGGUGGCCUGCACCCACAGUGAACACAUUUCCUCCACUAAGACCUCACCUACUCCAACAAGGUUACGCUUCCUAAUAGUCCCGCUCCGGCUGACCAGGCAUUUAAAUGAGCCUUAGGGGGCCAUUCUUAUUCAAACCAGCACAUUCCCCUGUAGGAUUCUGCUUACAUUAAGUGUGCCUUUAUCCUCAGGCCCCACUGUUCUAGUGGCGCAAGGGUAGAAACACUUGGGGAUGGAGUGUAGUCAUGUAGUUGCUUGGCUAACAGCCUAACAGCCUGCUUUGGAGAAAGCUCCCUGUGUUAAAACAUGGAACUAGAACCUCUUUAUUCUAGACAUCGAAAGUUAUUGUCUAGCACCUAAUCUUUUAGAAGCGUGUAGGAACUUCUUUUUUUCCUAGCUAAAAAAGAAAACUAACAAUAGAUAUGUUGCCUCCAUGCAUGUCUGUGUGCCACAUGUGUCCCAGGUCCCUCUAAAUUCCUUGGACCUGGAUCGACAGAGAGUUGUGGGCUCCCAGGUGGGUGCUGGGAACUGAAGUCCAGUUCUUAAUCGCUGAGCCAUCUCUCCAGGCCCUGAGACAGCUCACCUUUUCAUCAGAAAAGCAGGUGCAGUGAAGGUCUGUUAAAGGCUAUAUUCACAGGCUCCUGUGUUCCUCACAGAGCUGUUAGCCACCGAGGACCCUGCCAGUUCAAGGAACGAUUACUAGUAAGGUUGCCUGGGAAUGUGAAGAAUUUUCUAUUUCUCAUAGAAUCAUUUUAUCUAGCAAUAGAAAUUAAGGCAGUGGACAAAUUAACAGGAGUCAAGAUCUUCCUUUUCAUACACUUAACUGAGCACACGAAACUGAUUUAGUGUUGCUUCAUGUUGAAGACUGGGCUCUUGAUCUUCCCACUUAUCCCUCCCAUAGUCUUCAUUGACUCAAUAAACGAACCCUUUAUUUGAAAAGAAGCUGAAGUAGGGUUUGAAACAUACCUGUGGUUGGUCUGUUACUCACUAGGUAGCCCAGGCUGGCCUUCCAGCUCAAGGUAACCUUCCUGCCUUCCCUGAGUGCUGGCAUUUCAGGUGUGUGCCACUACUCCUGGUAAAUGGCACCAUUGUUAACCCAGUUGCUCAACCAAACUCUAGGAGGUAUCCGUGAUGUCUCUUUGCUCUCCACAUCCAGCUCUAACCCUUCUUUACCUCCAGAAACACUGGGUAGGUCUUUUCCUUAUCUGACUUGUGGGCGGUAACUUCUGAAUUCCUGACUCUGCUUUGAGCAUCCAGUAAUCCAUGUUUCUCUUUCUGUCUGCAGGACUGAUUGUUUUAUGCUGGUGUGUGUGUGUGUGUGUGUGUGUGUGUGUGUGUGUGUGUGUGUGUGUGUGAGAGAGAGAGAGAGAGACAGACAGACAGACAGACAGACAGACUUUCAGCUGUGCCAUCUAUCUUCCCCCAACCCCAGACUGGGAAAUUGUGAGGAGGGCUAGGAGUUGUAGCUCAGUGUUAGAGCAUGUUCUUACCAUAUGUAAGAGCCUAGAUUCAAUUUUCAGCAUUAAAAAAAAUUCGAAUCAGGUUACAGUUACCCUGGCUUAAGACAUAGAGGCUUCCAUUGCAGUUAAUACACAAUGGGAGCUCCUUCUCAACCCCUGUGCCUGUGCCUGCGUCUGAUCUCUUACCUACAGUUCCAAGGACCAGCAACACAGGCCGUUGUUCUGUACUGUCCCUUAGGCCGAAGAGUUUCCUGUCUUGUCAUUGUCUUGUCAUUUGAGUCUUGUUCACAUGUCAUCACCUUGGAGAAAUUUCCCUAGGUCCCUUCUGUUCUCUCCUCAACUUUUCAUAGCAUCCGUCUUAAUCUGUAGUUGCUUGGUCUGAGUAUUGUUUUUCUCUGAUUAGCACUGUGAGAACCAGGACUAUGUCAGCCUGUUUUCCUCCCUUGGUGUCUGAAACCGUAAGGCCUGGCACGUAGAACAAACAGGUUGUGAGCUUGUGAAUGAACUGACUAGUUAAGGAUGAAGCUCACUCACCACUUUAGCUGGAAGUAACGAGGGCAGCAAACUAGUAAGCUAGACCUGUUGACUGUACUCUUGGAGUAAUCACUCGGAAACUGCGUAGUACCCGUUAGCCAUUGUGUAUUCCCAUAUAACUAGAUCUAAUCAUCCCUGUAUUAUCCUAAUAACAGCAUGUUGUGUUCAUAGGUUAACAGUUCUCUUUCAUGGUUAAUUACCUGUCAAUUUGCAGACAUUUUAAAUUCUUAACCUGUUUUCUCUAA